Molecule: microRNA precursor, 120 nt
Filed under: Oryza brachyantha (malo sina)
Lineage: Eukaryota; Viridiplantae; Streptophyta; Magnoliopsida; Poales; Poaceae
Description: pre miRNA MIR164
Rfam family: MIR164 microRNA precursor family
Source: RNAcentral
CCGUGCAUGGUGGAGAAGCAGGGCACGUGCAAUACCAUCCAUGGACGCCGCCUCCUCCUCCUGGAGUGGAGCAUGGGCAUGGAUGGUUCUUCAUGUGCCCGUCUUCUCCACCGAGCACGC